UACGUAGGGUGCAAGCGUUAAUCGGAAUGACUGGGCGUAAAGCGUGCGCAGGCGGUUCUAUAAGACAGAUGGGAAAUCCCCGGGCUCAACCUGGGAACUGCAUUUGUGACUGUAGAGCUGGAGUGCGGCAGAGGGGGAUGGAAUUCCGCGUGUAGCAGUGAAAUGCGUAGAUAUGCGGAGGAACACCGAUGGCGAAGGCAAUCCCCUGGGCCUGCACUGACGCUCAUGCACGAAAGCGUGGGGAGCAAACAGG
This 253-nucleotide ribosomal RNA is filed under the name uncultured bacterium. Its description in RNAcentral is "partial 16S ribosomal RNA". It matches the Rfam family "Bacterial small subunit ribosomal RNA", at positions 524 to 776 of the family's 1533-position model. The record is from RNAcentral.